GUCCUCUCUAAUAUGGUCUAGCCUAAGGUGCCACAGAUACUUUUGGCUAAUCCUUUCUUUAGGUCUCUAAGACCCUAUGGCAUUCACUAUUUGCUCGUUAAUGUUUACACUCACAUCUGUAUGCAAAUGAUAAAGACCGUCAAUCAAGAAAGCACAUGCAACAAUUUUAUUUUUGAAAUAAAUUGAAUAUAUAUCUUUAUUGAAAUAAAAAUUAUAGUUAUCCUAUGCCAGCAC
This 234-nucleotide long non-coding RNA is filed under the name Elaeis guineensis (African oil palm). Its description in RNAcentral is "long non-coding RNA (EGUI_LNC021519)". The record is from RNAcentral. Lineage: Eukaryota; Viridiplantae; Streptophyta; Magnoliopsida; Arecales; Arecaceae.